Molecule: long non-coding RNA, 596 nt
Organism: Chinchilla lanigera (long-tailed chinchilla)
Lineage: Eukaryota; Metazoa; Chordata; Mammalia; Rodentia; Chinchillidae
Exons: 4
Source: RefSeq, a predicted model, not a curated record
CGGGGGCUUCUCUGUGAGGUCACAGUCCUGCCUGCUCUGCUUGCACUGCUGAGUGGGUCAGGUGGAGCCAGGACAGGCAGCUGCCGCUCUUCUCUCCAAGAUGCCUGAAUGAGGGGCCACGAAGCCUGAGACAUCGGACACAUUGGAAAAAGGAAAGUGAAGUCACUCAUCCAAAAGGGUUAAGAAAAGUCACGACAGCAUUAAAAAGACAUAAAGAAAAUGGAUUUCAAGACAGGAAUCCAGGAAAACACAGAAAAGAAAGGUUGCCCCGUGUCCAACACAGCUGAUGGUUUUGGAGAGAGGAAAAAAGACAGGAUUCACUAAUCAAAUGCAGAGCGUAUACGACAGGGAUGUUCAACAGAACGAGAAAAGGUUGUGAAAAAGAGUUUCUAUCAUUAAAGAUUUGAGAGGUCUAACAAUUACGGAAAAUGGCAUUACUAGCAAUCCUGAAAUAGAUUCUGGUAAACAAUAAAUAAAACAUGUGAAGGCGGCUUUUCAGAACCAAAGGAACACAAACCACAGCUCACCGCACUCAGAGGAGCACGGGCACAAGCGGCGCGUGAUGUAAUGAGGAGAAAUAAACGCGAUGGCGAAGG